Molecule: ribosomal RNA, 253 nt
Filed under: uncultured bacterium
Lineage: Bacteria
Description: partial 16S ribosomal RNA
Rfam family: Bacterial small subunit ribosomal RNA
Source: RNAcentral
UACGUAGGUGGCAAGCGAUACUCGGAAUCACUGGGCGUAAAGCGCAGGUAGGAGGUUUGGUAAGUCUGUUGUGAAAGCUCCCGGCUUAACUGGGAGAGGUCAACGGAAACUACCAGGCUAGAGUGCGGUAGAGGUAGCUGGAAUUCCCGGUGUAGCGGUGAAAUGCGUAGAUAUCGGGAGGAAUACCUAUGGCGAAAGCAGGCUACUGGACCGUCACUGACUCUGAUCUGCGAAAGCUAGGGGAGCAAACAGG